CUCAGACCAAAACCCUACUCUUGUGGAAAAAGAUCCCCUAAAGCCCUGGAGGGAGCUACCAGGAACAUCACUCAGGAUGGAAGUGGCAGUGUGGAGGCCCUAUUUUUCCACCACAAAAUAUCUGGUGGGUCCUGGAUUCAUCAGGCUUGGUGCUCCCAAGUUGUCUUGCUGGCCCUACAAUGCUUUGUGUCAAACCACUUAGUGCCCACCAAUCAAAAAGGCAAGAAUGGCAUCAGGACCUGGACAAACUUUAGGAGGUUUCCUGCACUGACAGAACUUGUUUGGUAAAUGCUUUAUGACUGGGCUUUAUAAUAAAUUCACACAGAAACACUUUCAA
Meriones unguiculatus (Mongolian gerbil) is the source of this 337-nucleotide long non-coding RNA. RefSeq lists it as uncharacterized. The record is from RefSeq and is a predicted model, not a curated record. Lineage: Eukaryota; Metazoa; Chordata; Mammalia; Rodentia; Muridae. The transcript is spliced from 3 exons.